Molecule: ribosomal RNA, 253 nt
Filed under: uncultured bacterium
Lineage: Bacteria
Description: partial 16S ribosomal RNA
Rfam family: Bacterial small subunit ribosomal RNA
Source: RNAcentral
UACGUAGGGUGCGAGCGUUGUCCGGAAUUAUUGGGCGUAAAGGGCUCGUAGGCGGUCUGUUGCGUCAGGAGUGAAAACUCUGGGCUUAACCCAGAGCCUGCAUCCAAAACUGGCAAACUUGAGUACUGGAGGGGAAAGCGGAAUUCCUGGUGUAGCGGUGAAAUGCGUAGAUAUCAGGAGGAACACCGGUGGCGAAGGCGGCUUUCUGGACAGUUCCUGACGCUGAGGCACGAAGGUCAGGGGAGCAAACGGG